UGUGUAGGCGGUUCUCCAAGUUUGGUGUGAAAUCUCCCGGCUCAACCGGGAGGGUGCGCCGAAAACUGGAGGGCUAGAGUGCGGGAGGGGAGAGUGGAAUUCCUGGUGUAGCGGUGAAAUGCGUAGAUAUCAGGAGGAACACCGGUGGUGUAGACGGCUCUCUGGACCGUAACUGACGCUGAGACACGAAAGCGUGGGUAGCAAACAGGAUUAGAUACCCUGGUAGUCCACGCCCUAAACGAUGCAUAUUUGGUGUAGGUCAUUCAGUUGAUCUGUGCCGGAGCUAACGCGUUAAAUAUGCCGCCUGGGGAGUACAGUCGCAAGGCUGAA
Molecule: ribosomal RNA, 330 nt
Filed under: uncultured bacterium
Lineage: Bacteria
Description: bacterial SSU rRNA
Rfam family: Bacterial small subunit ribosomal RNA
Source: RNAcentral